GGCUUAUUAGCUCAGUUGGUUAUAGCGUCGUUAUAAUAACCUUAAGGUCGCAGGUUCGAGACCUGCAUGGGCCA
Molecule: transfer RNA, 74 nt
Filed under: Nelumbo nucifera (sacred lotus)
Lineage: Eukaryota; Viridiplantae; Streptophyta; Magnoliopsida; Proteales; Nelumbonaceae
Rfam family: tRNA
About the family: Transfer RNA (tRNA) molecules are approximately 80 nucleotides in length. Their secondary structure includes four short double-helical elements and three loops (D, anti-codon, and T loops). Further hydrogen bonds mediate the characteristic L-shaped molecular structure. tRNAs have two regions of fundamental functional importance: the anti-codon, which is responsible for specific mRNA codon recognition, and the 3' end, to which the tRNAs corresponding amino acid is attached (by aminoacyl-tRNA synthetases). tRNAs cope with the degeneracy of the genetic code in two manners: having more than one tRNA (with a specific anti-codon) for a particular amino acid; and 'wobble' base-pairing, i.e. permitting non-standard base-pairing at the 3rd anti-codon position.
Source: Rfam by way of RNAcentral